CGGCACUCUGGGAACGGGUCCUCCGGCCUUUCCUCCGCGCGGGUACCUACCUGCCCGGCCGCGCCUCGCGCUCUCGCAGCUCGGGUCCUCGCCCGGGGGAGGUCCCAGAGCUUUCGGGGUCGGGCGCGCCAGACGCUGCGCACAGCUGGGCCAGAGCGCUGGGGGGCGGGGCUCAGCGCGCGCGGGGCGCGGCAGCUGGGAAUUUCCGAGCCCGGGGCGCGCGCCGGGCCCCGCGGUCACCGUGGGCAGGUGGGGUGAGCCCCGUCAGGCGCAGGUGCUCGGUGCCCGCGGGGCUGCCUGCAGCUCGUCCCCGUGAAAACCCCGCUCCCUGCAGCGGGAGGGCGAAGCGCGUUCCUAACGUUGACGGGAGGCGAGUCUGCGGGGGAGCCGCAAAGACCAGGCGCAGAUGGAGGAGUCUGGACUGCCAGGACCUGGCUUGUUGGGCUGCAGGAACUUCCUUCACUGAGAGACCCCUGGGAGCCUUGAUUACUGGCAAGCCUGGGGCCCAUCCGGCGGCCAUUCCAAAGGUGUAUCUCAGAAAGAUUUUUGGAUGGUGGGCUGCUUAUAGCCUGGAAGCUAUGUAAGUGGUUCAGGACCAACCCAAGCUCUGCAGGCUUGGACGGCAUCAGGUUGCCCUCUGUGGGCCGACGAGAUGCUUUGAGAGCAUGCUCCAGCUGCGAGGGUGAGUAUAGCCAGGCAUCUGGCCCAGGGCACGUGUUUGGAGAGACCAGUUCGUGGGAGUGGGCUAGGAGGAUACACAGCAUCUAUUUCCAAGUGCUAACUCACUCAAAUGCGCAUUUCCCUCCUAAAGGCCGAGCUGAGGAACCUGGAAGCCUUGCAAGAGCUGAUUCCAGCAUGCUGACCAUGGUGUCCUCAGCAAGAGACACCUGCAGAAACCCCGACUACAGAAAGUAAGUACGUUUGUCUCUCACCCAUUUCAGGGGCUGCCUCUAAAGGGCCCUUAGGGGUGAGCACCUUCCAUACUGGAGACAAUGCAGGUAGUUGGGGAGCUGGACAGGGUGAUGUGUGAGCCUCCCACGGUCAGGGGAGGCAGAGACUUGGAACAGAGGCAAUGUCAGGGGAGGUUAGAAGCAGACUCUUGGGGGUGGGAGGGUACCUGCAUCUGCCUGAAUCCGAGUCCCAAUAACACAAAUGCAUAUAUUCCCACGAUGUCUGCUUGAUUUUGGGAGCAAACAGUGCUCAGACUGAUUUUGUCUUUGCUGACAAUGUCUGUAACACCAGUUCACUGUGCAGGUAUCUCCAGCUACUAGCACACAGGGCAAUGCUUUUUAAUUUAUCAUUAAAGAAAUAACAUAUUCCAAACUAAUGCUAGACUGAUCACAGGCAAAGGGAAAUGAAAGCGAUAAAAUUCAAAUGUAUUUGAGGUAUAUUUUUAUAGGAAUAGGCCCUUGGAGAGACACCUGUGCCAACCAAGAUCUGGCCUCCAGCUGCCAGAACCAAAGUAAAAGUCGGGUGUUGCGAAAGCACGUUUCUGGAGAAGGAGGGCACUGGUGUUGAUGGGCCAAAUGUACUUCCCUGAGGGGCCCUUGCAUGGCUUUUACCACUGCCCAUAAGAGGGUCUCCUUUUCCUUAUAAGGAGUUAAUUGUUUCACGGUCUUAGGAGAGAGAUUUUAGGUCAGCAGAGUGUCACUUUGCUAGGACCGAAUCUCCUCGGAUAGACCUUACAGCUGUCGAGGUUCAUAGUCUAAGUGUCACUCUAUCAUAGUUGCUUCUCCUGUGUCUUCACUGCAGCAGCCAAGCUACUGAGUUCUUACAGGUGAGGGCAUGUGGGAUGAUCCCAUCCUGACACAACUUUCUGCUUUCUUAGAUCAAAGCAACUUUACCCCUAAAAACAAUUUUGGGAGGGAAUUCACCGGAAGUAAGUGGAUUUGAAAUUAUAUCACAUCAACACACAACAAUCCACCCUGUGAUUUCAAAUCACUCACACAGUAAUUCACACUGGGGCCUAAUUAAUGUCUUGUACUAAUCCAAGUCCACAGAAACGUCAGUCCGCCCUGAGAUUGCACAUCACUUACGGUCUUAAUCACACACUCAGUCACAGUUUGUGAGUAUUCUCCUUUUGAUGCACGUUCUCAGACCCAUACUUUAAUUACCAGCUCCAGCACCUAUGUACCUAAUAUGAUCACUAUAAGCACAACAAAGUAAUCUUGAACAUGGCGCUGUAUGUAACCGUCAAAUGAUCAAAGGUUAAACUUCUUCUUCUUUUUUUUUUUUAAAGAUUUAUUUAUUUAUUCAUGAUAGACAUUGAGAGAGAGAGAGAGAGAGAGAGAGGCAGAGACACAGGCAGAGGGAGAAGCAGGCUCCAUGCCGGGAGCCCGACGCGGGACUCGAUCCCGGGUCUCCAGGAUCACGCCCUGGGCCAAAGGCAGGCACUAAACCUGAGCCACCCAGGGAUCCCCAAAGGUUAAACUUCUUAAGCCAGUCAUUUUUAACUUCCUUGACAAUCAUGUUUUCAUGUAAAUAUUAUUUUCUUAAGGUCUCCAGGGGGGCGAUGGGGAGGACAUGCAUUAGCACCAUCAAGCAUGUGUCCGUACACCAGAACAUCACAAUUCAAGGCUGCCAUUUGCUUCAGGAAUGCAUAUUUUUACAUUUCCUGAAAAGUUCUUUUACUUUAUUAGCCUCGACUUCCAAAGUUUCUGUACUUGUCUUUACUUUCCUAACCUAUGACAUAUUUAUAAGAGUAAUUUUUGGAGGUUCAUUGUGAAAUAUUUCUCUUUUAAUAGUGCCUUUAUAUUCUCUAGCCUCCAAAAAUAUCAUUUCCUUUUCUUUGUUACAUUCAUGACCUGUUCUAGGUGUACGCAUCCCAUCACAUUGUGUCCUUACAUUUCCCUUGACGCUAGCAGGUUAGGCAGAGGCUGGGCUUAGACCAUACUGUCCUGGUCCAAUUUUCUAAUAUUAUACAAAACUGCCUAAGAAGGCACUGAAGUGCUCACAGGUACUGAAGCCCAAGUUCUAAGAGGUAUAAGGACAUUUUCACUCCAUUCCACCAACACGUCCUUUGGAUCAUGUUUUUCUUUCUGUCAUAAAGGAGCUUUUGUGGACAGUAGGUUUCAUUCUGUCUUUUGAUGUUGGGAAACUAUAGAAGUGUGGUACCCAAUGUUGUAUUUUCUCCUUGACAUGCCAAAAGUCCGAUUUCAUGGUUGCCCAAGGAAUUGUGACCUUUGGGGUAUGUGGUGUCCACUUCACUUCUGGCUGGGUUAUCUAGUAUCUCAGGUGACCAGGAGUGCUCCAAGAUCAUAAAAGUUCUGUGAUUCUUUGUAUCCCACAUUUCAGCCAAUCUUAACUGCAACAAUUGUCAAUCUAGAAUUAGAGAAACACCAUUCAGGUCGGUUUUUCAGUAUUUUGUUAUUUUUAGCAAUUUCUCUAACUGCUUUAUGUGGAAUUCCCAUUGCUCUGGUAACUUCCAUGUGAAAUUCACUCAUAUUUUGUAACAUACUGCUGAUUUUAUCCAUCUAUGUACCCAGUGAUGACAAAGCUGCCAUGGCACAUGUGUUAAAUUGAGACCGUCUGGUUUCAAACUUUUUAAAGCUUAAUAUGAUCUGAUUGAUUUGGAAUUAAGGAAAAGGUGGCUGCCAUUGUUUUUCCACUUAAACCUCCUACCCACCCAGCGAGGAACUGUAAGCAUUUCUUCCUUUUAGUUAACUCUGUUUUGAGCAUAGGUUGCAAAUUGGACAUAAGUGAAACUGGAUAGAACUGAGCACUUUCAGGGAAUCUCUGUCUGGAAAGUCCUGCAUAUUAAAUUUCAAGUCCUAAGCCACUAUUGUAGCUCCCAAUAUGAUUGUGUGAGGAUUUAUUAACAAAGAAUCCCAUAUUCUUGGGGCAGAAAUCUGUGGUAUGAGACUGAAGCCUGCUAUAUACCCCCAAGGUUAAUGGUGUCAUGUGCUAAGUUUCCUAUGUGUCCUCUGCAUGCAUUAGUAGGUGUUCCUGUUCUGCUAAAGUCUAGCCAUAGUGUACGUGGAUCUAUUGUUAAUGACCUAAUCCAUGACCAUUAGUUUGCAAGCUCCUUGGGAGCUUCCUAGAUGUAAUGUGAAGGUGGUCCCUGUUCGGAGGGCAGAAAGAGGCAGGAUUACUAAGCAGAGGCACUUAAAGCAAAAGGAGUAGAUCCCCUACCCACCUGCCACAUCUUAAAGGUUCAAAUAGAGGCCUCACUGGCCUUAGUCAUGUAGACCAUACAGAUGGUCUAACACCACUUUACCAUCUCAAGGCUGUGUCCAUGGAGCAGAUUCUGGGAGCAGGGAAGGACAAGGGGAUGGGACAAGGAGCUUCCAGUUGCCUGGGUCCACUUCACAGCAAGUGGCAGACACUCCACCUUUCAUGACUAGCUCUUCCAACCCCACAUGUACCCCUCUUCUGCAGUGUGCCCUGUGUGGUCAACAAGGGGCUUCACUAGCCUGAAGGUGGUGCCUGUGGUCUGUCUGGCUGCGCUAGAGGCAGAUGCCAUGGCUACAAUGCAAGAGAAAACAAGACAAGGAUUCCCAGAAUUAGUGACAACUUUUUCCACCAGGAGUCCCAUGAUCCCAACCACUGAUUUAUUAAAUCCAGCCUGGUGGCCCGAUCACUCAGGGCAUUUACUUGUAUCCUCAUGGGACAUAAUAAAUGUGAUACAUUAGCAGAUUCAUGAGGUACGAACACAGAGCAUUCCUUCUGAGGCAGUAAUAAUGUCCCAGGCUAUUUUAUUUGAAGGACGGUUGUUCUCAUUAGAGAUGUUUCAGGGUUCAGUAAGGACGAGAUUUUUCAGCAUUCCUUGGAGGCUUAGUGA
RNAcentral lists this long non-coding RNA (4780 nucleotides) under Canis lupus familiaris (dog). RNAcentral describes it as "lncRNA (ENSCAFG00030008060.1)". The record is from RNAcentral. Lineage: Eukaryota; Metazoa; Chordata; Mammalia; Carnivora; Canidae.